This is a long non-coding RNA of Lampris incognitus (smalleye Pacific opah), 330 nucleotides long. RefSeq lists it as uncharacterized. The record is from RefSeq and is a predicted model, not a curated record. NCBI's taxonomy places the organism in Eukaryota, Metazoa, Chordata, Actinopteri, Lampriformes, Lampridae. The transcript has 3 exons.
CAGCUGACAGAUUCAUUGCCGGAGGCUUUAAGCCAGUACAGAACUGAGGUGAAGCUUAGCGAGACAAGGAAAGAGGGAAGGAAAAGGAAAUAAGGUCCUUGGCCACCUACUUCACCUCCUAUCAGUACAGCAACUACAUGCUGUGUGCACAGCCCAUCAGUGUCGCCACUUAACUUUAAAUCUGAACCAAAAGGGUUUUGGGAGGUGUGCUGGUACUAAAACAGUUGACCCGACUCUCCUCUGGUUCACAGUUAUCUACAGAGUCCCCAGCAAAGAGCUUGGAGUUAAUACUCUGCUGGAACGUGAUGGCGAGCUAGUCCCAGUGGUGAA